GGAGAGAAGGAGAGCGAGCGAGCGGCUUGCGAGUUGGAGAAGACGCGAUUUGCCGCUCCGUCGUGUAGAGCACGUCGCCUCGACACAGACUGCGGCGGCCUGGACAACUGCCGCCCACCCAAGCUGCCUCUACCUCAAGCCUCGAGGUUCCAGAACCUACUCCUCGCAUGCCCCGCCAUUGCAGCUCGUUCAUCCUUCACUUUCUCCGUUCGUUGAACAGAGAAAUCGACACGUCGAGGGUCGGGGUGAAACCGCCUGAGAGCCGAACAGAGACGGGACCAAGAGACAGAUGCGAUAGACAAAGACCAGACAAGACCUCUGUCUUUUUGACAGCGAUGUACUCCGCCGCCGUGGAAUAGCUGCCGUUACAAACAGGUUCGUAGGGCAGGUCACGUAACGACAGGGGCGCGCCGUGCAAAAUACCGCGAAUCACGAAUUCAAUGCACCGAACACUGUGUGCCAAACAGGACAAGGAUUGUUCGCGUUUCACGCGUGAAUACGAUCGCGUUCUGAUAUUCAUUCAAUGCGGUAAUCCUCUACCGUUUACCGUUUCGAAGAGAAUUUUUCGACCUCCCUGGCUAAAGAGAAGAUCGCGAGUAAGAAAACGACGCCGUAUCCUAGCCGCGGGAGAACCCGACGCUAGCGUGAGAAUUCUUGCGAUCUGGCGCCAGGCCAAAUGUACCUCAUUUUUUCUUCGUCGAUCAUUCCUAACGUCGCCGAUAUUCUACCUCUUGUUUAUGCUCGCGGUGAAACUCGACGGCAAACGCGGCGUCGCCGCUAACAGAUGUGCACACUAAAUAUGUGACUCUGGCCCUGAUCGCUAAUCCUGCUCGCAAUCACAAAUGCACAAAUUUAUCGAUAUAUCUUCGAAAGUUUAUCUUAUCAAGAUACAUGAUAACAUUUGCGUCGUGUAAAAUUAUCCAACUAUGUUGCGACUAACUCGUUGACAGAAACUAGGUAUCGGCUAUUGUCUCAGUACAAAGGUGGAUGAGUAAGUACUCAAGUCAGUGAUUAAGGAAUCGAUUACCCUGAAUAACUGUUCAUUGCGAUUUAACGGCCGAUGUACCGUUUAAUUUCCGUUUUUUUUUAUGAUAAUCCCUACAAUAAGUUAAAUGCCAAGUGUAAUCAACGAUGUUCACGGCUAUAAUUUUAAAGAGACUCAACUCCAAAUAAUCUUCUUACAAACUACCAAAAAUUCUCGGCGUAUCCUCGAUAUACUGAUACUUGAUGGCCAUUUGUAUAUAAAUUUAAAUGACAGCUUCUCGCUGGACAAGGAGUGACCCAGCUGAAAACUGGAAAGAAAAUAAUUCGGUCGAACCGUUAGACCUCGAAAGCGUGAACAGAUAUACAAACACACCAAGGGUCGAAAUGAUCUGAAUUUCAAUAUGAGAGGCCUAAGCCUCUUGUAAGCCGAUACAUGUAUUGGGCACACAGCUAUUUACAGCUUCUAAUCUCAUCGGUUUUCCGGACGAUGAUCCAAGUCCUCACAAACGAAUUUUCGCGACUUUACCAAAUAGAACCGUUGGUACGAGUUGAAUGCACGCCUGCAGGUACCAAUUCGUCUCAAAUGAAAUAAUUUCCACUCUUCUAACGUUAUAUCGUAAUGUCUACUACAUAUUCGAUGAGUUCGAAGAGCGGUUCAUCGUUCCCGACUCAUGGCCUGGAUCCCACCGGGCAACUUUUUACCUGUUACCUUAAUUUUUUUUUAUCUUCCCUGCCUUGUUGGCAUGUACACACGGAUUCCUAACUGUACCGCCGAUCGCCAUGAAGAUUACUCCACGAAAUAUAUAUUAAAUCCCAGUUUGCGCCAAAGAAAUUUAGUCUGAUCUUGAACGCCGAAUUGGUAGAUUGGAACGUAUUCGUCCGGGUUAACGCUACAGAUGUUGGUCCGUGUAACGUUCUACUGGUUCCUCAAAGACAAGAAUCCUCGAGGAACAAGGGAGUGCGCGAUGAAGAAGUCUUACAAAGCAGGUAAGCAAGGAAACGGAGAGAGUAUCUCUCAAUUGUCAGACGAAUUAGUUUCAUGAAGUUAAUUAGACCGCCGUCUGUCCUUUCGGUUCGAGAGAUACUCGCGUGUUACACGCAGGUCUUUACUCGUUCUGAAAAGUUCUCCCGCGAAAAAUACAAUACGAAACACGGAUGCAUCGACCUCUUCAGAUACUUCGGGUACCCCGGGACAUCUAGCGAGCGGCUUGUGAAGCCUUGUACGUAGGCAAAGAAAACCAGACAUCGUAACAAAUGUAUGACUAACAGGUGCAAAAACAAUGCACCGGUUAAACUUCUGUUUCCACCUUCGACUUUCGAAACUCGUCGUAUAUCUGUAUUUUCCUUUUCAACUAUUGGCAUUAAAAUACUCGACAAUUUCGUGGAAAAGCAAGCGAACUGUGCUAUUCUAUUCUAUUCUAUUCUAUUCUAUUAGGAUCGGGAUUCAAUAUUAGAAAAGAAAUAUCUCGAACGAUCGAUGUAAAUGACACCACAGCGGAGCGUAUCUAAACGAAACGAGUUUGCCGCGAGGAAGGAAGUAACGAAGAGGAAGGAAAAAAAGUUGUAAGAGCAAAAAGAAGGAAGGGGGAAGAAGACGUUCUCGAGGCUGGGGCAUCGAACCAUGACCCGAGCACCUGUUGCCGCCUCCACGCUCCUAGAUUAAUGCGGACCGACCUAACCUGCCGCCUCCGCUCACUACUUGCCAUCGCGUAGGCAUAGUGAACUAGUACUAACCUCUCUGACGAACAUCUUAUGGACCGUGACCGGUGAAAAGCAUGGUCGUGAGUUCAUCGACGCGACGACGUGGUUGGAUCGUUAGCCGCAUAUUGCUCGGUUGUCUGCUCUCUUUGAUCGCGACACAAGUGUCUUCAUUCAUCGUUCUCGACCGGAACGCGUUCAAUGUGGUUAAAAGUCGUUUCGCCAGCCGAGAUUCGCUCGCGUUCUCGGAAAACCAUAAAUUAAUACAGCGGGGGGAGAAACGGCGUGAGUCUUGAGAGCAGAGAGGCAAUUGAGAGAAUCGGCCGCCGGUACUUGAUAGAACAACGGUUACUAGAGCAUUCACGAUAGCGUACCAAUAGGUCGUUAUAAUUAGAAACAAUUAUGCUCGCGUGCCCGAGAUGCGAUACUUCAAUACUGGCUCCCACCUACGGUAUAUUUACGAGAUAACGAGAGUUACGUUACGUCGAUCGAACACCAUUUUAACGACGCUACGCGAAAAUGGUGCGGAACCAAGCAGACCGCGCGCGCCGUUGCUUUUGUGAGCGUGAAUCAGAGCCUGUAAUUUCACGAAUCGGAUAUGUCCUACAUGCAUACGUUCAUAUGCAUACACACGAUUGUCCUAUGCUCGUCGAGGAAGGAAAAAAAAAGACUAGCGGACUCGAUAAUCGUGGAAGAGGUCCGUUUUACCGAGGUUUCGUUGCAUGUACGGAGGGAUAAAAUUGAUUCGAAGACUUAAGCGUCGCGAAGAACGACUUGCGACAGAGGCACGCAAACUGAAUGAAAAAUCUCUCACGUACAUGCUAAAUACAUGCAUCAACGGUGCAAAAGAUAGAUCGAGAGAGAUCCGAUACAAAGAACCGGAAGCGGAUGUGGUAACGUAUCAAGUCGAACUAAUUCUCAGGCGACGUUAAAAAAAAUUGAAACAUGCGUAAAUUCUUCGAUGUACAGCUCACCAUUCUAUUUUCAAACGGGUUUGCGCAUCACGAAGAUGUACACGAUACUCUAGAAGAAACGUUAUCAUAAAAUUCAGAAGUUUUCUACUCAAACGAGAAAGAUGUACAAGCAAUGUACAUAAUAUCAAGAAUCAGCGACAUCUGCGGAAAACAUUCUGCAAGUAACUAAUCAAGAUAACCGUUUCACCAAAAAUAAUGAAAUGUAACUGUGAUUCAGUCGAACAUAUCUGUUGAAAACUUGAAACAAAUAAUCAACUUUAUGUAAUACAAUGUGGAUGAACUGAUA
This is a long non-coding RNA of Bombus huntii, 3942 nucleotides long. RefSeq lists it as uncharacterized. The transcript is spliced from 3 exons. Lineage: Eukaryota; Metazoa; Arthropoda; Insecta; Hymenoptera; Apidae. The record is from RefSeq and is a predicted model, not a curated record.